Molecule: ribosomal RNA, 230 nt
Filed under: uncultured bacterium
Lineage: Bacteria
Description: partial 16S ribosomal RNA
Rfam family: Bacterial small subunit ribosomal RNA
Source: RNAcentral
GAUCCUGGCUCAGGAUGAACGCUAGCUACAGGCUUAACACAUGCAAGUCGAGGGGCAGCAUGGUCUUAGCUUGCUAAGGCCGAUGGCGACCGGCGCACGGGUGAGUAACGCGUAUCCAACCUGCCUUACACUCUUGGACAGCCUUCUGAAAGGGAGAUUAAUACCCAAUGAUAUCUCUAGAAGACAUCUGAAAGAGAUUAAAGAUUUAUCGGUGAUGGAUGGGGAUGCGU